This 485-nucleotide ribosomal RNA is filed under the name Leptographium sp. NFRI 60-26. RNAcentral describes it as "SSU rRNA". It matches the Rfam family "Eukaryotic small subunit ribosomal RNA", at positions 405 to 895 of the family's 1831-position model. RNAcentral also lists the same sequence under 1 other name. The record is from RNAcentral. Lineage: Eukaryota; Fungi; Ascomycota; Sordariomycetes; Ophiostomatales; Ophiostomataceae.
GGCUACUACAUCCAAGGAAGGCAGCAGGCGCGCAAAUUACCCAAUCCCGACUCGGGGAGGUAGUGACAAUAAAUACUGAUACAGGGCUCUUUUGGGUCUUGUAAUUGGAAUGAGUACAAUUUAAUUCCCUUAACGAGGAACAAUUGGAGGGCAAGUCUGGUGCCAGCAGCCGCGGUAAUUCCAGCUCCAAUAGCGUAUAUUAAAGUUGUUGCAGUUAAAAAGCUCGUAGUUGAACCUUGGGCCUGGCUGGCCGGUCCGCCUCACCGCGUGCACUGGUCCGGCCGGGUCUUUCCCUCUGGGGAGCCGCAUGCCCUUCGCUGGGCGUGUCGGGGAACCAGGACUUUUACUUUGAAAAAAUUAGAGUGUUCAAAGCAGGCUUAUGCUCGGAUACAUUAGCAUGGAAUAAUAGAAUAGGACGUGCGGUUCUAUUUUGUUGGUUUCUAGGACCGCCGUAAUGAUUAAUAGGGACAGUCGGGGGCAUCAGU